UUGCUUCAGCAGCACAUAUACCAAAAUUGUAUGAAACAAAGAUGAUUAGCAUGGCCCCUGUGUAAAGAAGACAUGCAAAUUUGUGAAGCAUUCUACAUUUUU
Molecule: small nuclear RNA, 102 nt
Organism: Sarcophilus harrisii (Tasmanian devil)
Lineage: Eukaryota; Metazoa; Chordata; Mammalia; Dasyuromorphia; Dasyuridae
Source: Ensembl